Molecule: unclassified non-coding RNA, 1116 nt
Filed under: Hevea brasiliensis (rubber tree)
Lineage: Eukaryota; Viridiplantae; Streptophyta; Magnoliopsida; Malpighiales; Euphorbiaceae
Source: RNAcentral
GUUUCUGCAUAUUCUAUUCUCUUUUUCCUUGCUCAGAAUAAUAAUCACUCCGAAAUAUUCAAUGGAGAAACAUCUCUUAUUAACAAUAAAAACACCUGUAAGUUCAGGCUUUAAAAUACUACCAGAAAAAAGAGAGAAUAGAAUAUGCAGGAACCAGCUGAGCGAGGAAAAAGAGAAUAGAAUAUGCAGAAACUAGCUGAGCGAGGAAACAAAAAAUUAUUAUGGAUAUGAGAUCGAAAGGGAAAAAAAAAGUUCUCAACCAAUAGUUCCGACAAAAUGAAUGAACAGACUCCAAGUAAUUACUUCCAAGGUUUGAUCUCAAAGUCCAACAUCCACUGAAAAAGAUUACCUGCCACGGCCAGUUGUCAGUUUUGCAGCAAGUACUGCAUUAUAUCCUUCCUAAUAACUCCUUCAAAACUACUUGCUCCACCAAUGUAGUUUGGCCGACCACUGAUACACAAGUGUCUGUACUGGGUAAUAGUUCCAGCAGGUCUUGGUGGCCGCAUCAUCAUUGCAAUUGCAGGAAAAGGUUGAGACCACAUAUUUCUUGAUGCAGUGAACAGAUGCCUACUAGAAUCCUGGCUUCUGGGUGACUGAAUGCUCCCAGAAGUUUUCAGGUGGGAGGAGCUGGUUACCUGCUUUUUCAUGUUCAUAUUUGUGUUAGCACCAUUUGGGGGUUUCAUUGGCGAGGGACCACGUAUCUGAGCAGAAGGUUUCAUUCGGUCCAGCCAUCGCAGAAUCCAGUUACCAAGAUUCCGACCUACUUCUAUGUCUCUCUGUUGUAUAUUCUGGUGAACCUUGAGUGCAACAUCAAAAACGGCACGUGUUCGUCUAUGAAGAAACUGGCGUAUCUUAGGACGCUUAGGAGAUACAAGCCUACGUUGAAUCCUCAAAGCGAGUCUGUAAGCCCGUUUGAGACCCAAGAAAUACGCAGUUCCCAAUGUGAUCUCCCAAAGCACCAUUUUGUACUUCUUCUAUGGCUAUGGAUAUGGGCAGUUAUAGAUUUAUACUUUCCUUUUCUUUAGAAUUCAAAAACAAAGGGACUGACUUGUGUUUCGUCGGAGGCAAGUUAAAGAAAUUGAUUCUUGGUGUAUAGCCGCCAGAACUUCUUGCAAU